This 979-nucleotide long non-coding RNA is filed under the name Anas platyrhynchos platyrhynchos (common mallard). RNAcentral's name for it is "lncRNA (ENSAPLG00000028384.1)". The record is from RNAcentral. Lineage: Eukaryota; Metazoa; Chordata; Aves; Anseriformes; Anatidae.
CAUUGCCUCAGCUGCUGCAUCAGGGGAGGAGAGUGCGAGCACCACCCUCGGCACCCUGCAGUACAAACGGUGCCGAAAAUCAGGCGGCAGAAGCUCGGUGUCACACCUCGCUGCCUGGGAAGCAGCCUGUGUGGAGAGACGGCAGCCUGGCCAAAGCGAUGUCUUCACACUGAGGUCUUCUUGUUGGCAGCACUGAAAUCCUGACAAAGCAGUAUUUCUCCACAUAACUGAAGGUCACUCGCCACUAACAAGCGCUUCAGCAGCGUGCAGAGCUCUGAGUGGCUGCGGAGCAUGUUGUGAGACCAGGACCAGAGCAACAAAACAGGCUGGGAAAAUGUUUUCCUUAGUUUUACAGAGAAGAAACCACUGCAGCAUUAUGAAGGUAACUGCGUAGCUGCUCCUAAGUGGCCUUUUUGCUUCUGUUUUACAUCCUGCAAAAGUGACCUGCCGUGGUGCUGACUGUGUGCUGAUCACUUUACCCCAGAAAUACCAGGUGGUGGACGGAUGGCCCCCUGCCAUGUGAGGUGCAAGGGAGAGCUGUGGUGUAGUGAAUUCCAAGUUCAAAUUCUCUCAGCGUUUGGAGAGGAACAAAGCAUUUUGCCCCUGGUAGCUUUUGCCGAAGACUUUCCGUGCUGUGAACAGGCAGGAAAAUCAGUUCCUGGCACUGCGCUAAUUAGAGCCCAUCUGAGGAGGAGAGAAGUGAAUCCCAACAAUGCAGCUCAACGGUAGUGCUAAAAUCUUGCAAUUAAACUGUGCUGCGGGAUUAUGCAUAUUAGCACAUGAAUUACUCUUUAAAUGAUAAACAUCAGACCAAAUAAUUAUCUAAAGCUUCUGGGAAGGGACAAUCAGUGAGGCUGGGCUGGCAAAACGUGACGGUUUUCUUCUGCAAAGCCCAAAUAAGUCUACAGCUUGCUGAAAACACACCAAAUUGUUCAAUGGGACUGAACAGCUGGGUUAAGCAACAUCGCUUCUCUUUGCC